CAAUAGCGUAUAUUAAAGUUGUUGCAGUUAAAAGCUCGUAGUUGGAUUUGUGGCUGUCGCUAGCGGCCUAUCACCUAGUGUUAGUGCUUGCUGGCGUCGCCAUCCUUGGGUGGAGCCUGCGUGGCAUUAGGUUGUCGUGCAGGGGAUGGCCCAUCCGUUUAUCUGUGAGAAAAUUAGAGUGUUCAAAGCAGGCUUAUGCCGUUGAAUAUGUUAGCAUGGAAUAAUAAGAUAGGACCUUGGUACUAUUUUGUGGUUUGCGCACCGAGGUAAUGAUUAAUAGGGACAGUUGGGGUGAUUCUAUUCCAUUGUCAGAGUGAAAUUCUUGGAUUUCUGGAAGACGAACUACUGCGAAAGCAUUUUACCAAGGGAUGUUUUCAUUAAUCAAGAACGAAAGUUAGGGGAUC
Molecule: ribosomal RNA, 404 nt
Filed under: uncultured eukaryote
Lineage: Eukaryota
Description: SSU rRNA
Rfam family: Eukaryotic small subunit ribosomal RNA
Source: RNAcentral